RNAcentral lists this ribosomal RNA (253 nucleotides) under uncultured bacterium. RNAcentral describes it as "partial 16S ribosomal RNA". It matches the Rfam family "Bacterial small subunit ribosomal RNA", at positions 524 to 776 of the family's 1533-position model. The record is from RNAcentral.
UACGUAGGGCGCAAGCGUUGUCCGGAAUUAUUGGGCGUAAAGAGCUCGUAGGCGGCUCGUCGCGUCGACCGUGAAAACCCGCAGCUUAACUGCGGGCUUGCGGUUGAUACGGGCGGGCUAGAGUUCGGUAGGGGAGACUGGAAUUCCUGGUGUAGCGGUGAAAUGCGCAGAUAUCAGGAGGAACACCGGUGGCGAAGGCGGGUCUCUGGGCCGAUACUGACGCUGAGACGCGAAAGCGUGGGGAGCGAACAGG